AGUAGUUUGACUCUGCUCAGGACGAACGCUGGCGGCGCGCCUAACACAUGCAAGUCGAACGGGACAUUUUUGGGAGAAGUUUUUCGGAUGGAUCUCGGGAUAGUUUAGUGGCGACGGGUGAGUAACACGUGAGCAACCUACCUUCGAGAGGGGAAUAACGGCUGGAAACGGUCGCUAAUACCGCAUAACAUACUGGAGGGACAUCCCUUUGGUAUCAAAGAUUUAUCGCUCGGAGAUGGGCUCGCGUCCGAUUAGGUAGUUGGUGAGGUAACGGCUCACCAAGCCGACGAUCGGUAGCCGGACUGAGAGGUCGAACGGCCACAUUGGGACUGAGACGACGGCCCAGACUCCUACGGGAGGCAGCAGUGGGGAUAUUGCACAAUGGGGGAAACCCUGAUGCAGCGACGCCGCGUGUGGGAAGACGGUCCUCUGGAUUGUAAACCACUGUCCCCAGGGACGAAGAUGACGGUACCUGGGGAGGAAGCUCCGGCUAACUACGUG
This 501-nucleotide ribosomal RNA is filed under the name uncultured Oscillospiraceae bacterium. RNAcentral's name for it is "bacterial SSU rRNA". It matches the Rfam family "Bacterial small subunit ribosomal RNA", at positions 1 to 507 of the family's 1533-position model. Lineage: Bacteria; Bacillati; Bacillota; Clostridia; Eubacteriales; Oscillospiraceae. The record is from RNAcentral.